Molecule: ribosomal RNA, 253 nt
Filed under: uncultured bacterium
Lineage: Bacteria
Description: partial 16S ribosomal RNA
Rfam family: Bacterial small subunit ribosomal RNA
Source: RNAcentral
UACGUAGGCAGCGAGCGUUGUCCGGAUUUAUUGGGCGUAAAGAGCGUGUAGGCGGUUUGGUAGGUCCGCUGUGAAAACUCGAGGCUCAACCUCGAGACGCCGGUGGAAACCAUCAGACUAGAGUCCGGAAGAGGAGAGUGGAAUUCCUGGUGUAGCGGUGAAAUGCGCAGAUAUCAGGAAGAACACCCGUGGCUAAGGCGGCUCUCUAGUACGGUACUGACGCUGAGACGCGAAAGCGUGGGGAGCGAACAGG